GGCUAAGAUGAACAAUGCUUUUAUUUCUGACACCUCUUGUAUGAGAAGUGCCUCGAAAGGGCUCUUCUUUGAGCACAUUAAGCAACCCUCUGAGCC
Small nucleolar RNA from Camellia sinensis, 96 nucleotides. RefSeq annotates it as small nucleolar RNA snoR1. NCBI's taxonomy places the organism in Eukaryota, Viridiplantae, Streptophyta, Magnoliopsida, Ericales, Theaceae. The record is from RefSeq and is a predicted model, not a curated record.